UCGCUACGCUCCGGAACAUUCGGAAACUCAAGAGUAUUGUUAGAGUGUGGCGUUCGGUUAUUCAGAGUGCCACACUCUGGGAGUGCUGCAGCGCUCUCCCGCCGCUCUGACUGGGGAGACAGAGCAGCCAGAGCGUUAGGAUCCAGCCAGAAGUCCAGAGGGUCCUGAAUAAUUCCUGCAAAGCUGUAGUGAGACUGGAGCAUCUGAACCUGCAGCCGCUGGUGUCUCUGGUGCAACUGCCGUGCCAAAAACGAGCCGAGCUCUCUGAAGAAUACUUGGAUUGUCCAUGGCGGGUAUGAAAAUGAAUAAUAAUAAGCAUAAUAAUGAUGAUUCACGCCAUGAAAUUACAGUUUUCGAUGGUUUUCCAAAUCCAUCUGACAUCCUGGAGAAACAAGAGACAGAGGUGGGGGACUUGAGUCACAUGAGUUUCCAAUUUUGAUUUGACUUGGACUUGAACUAUGACUUGAGAAGUUUUGCCUGUUUACGUUUUGCCAUUGUUUAACAAGACAGUGUGUGUGUUUUUUGUGUGUGUCAUGCAUACAAACCUGGCAACCCAGUGCGAGGCCACCUCAUGAAGAAGGAGGACAGCACAACAACAUCCCGGCUGGAACCACUUCAUCCGGGCGGCUCUCCAAACCCGGAUCCACCAUAUAUCCUGGUUCAUUCCGGCAAGGCUGACACCUUCUACGUGGAUCCCAACCGGGAGAUGAUCAUGGUGCUUGAGCUGGAGCCAGAUAAGACACAAAAGACCAAAUGUGGAGAACCGUCUCCACCCCGGGAAGCGGUCCAAAACAAAGGAGGCGAGAAGAAGGAGAGUGAAGACUUCUGUGCCGUCUGUCUAAAGGGAGGAGAUCUGCUGUGCUGUGAUCUUUGUCCCAAAGUUUACCACUUGGCCUGUCACCUUCCUUCACUGCUCACCUUCCCAACGUGUGUCACUUUUAUUCCUAAAAAGAACUGAUAACAUUCUAACAUGUUAACAGUUGUUAUGCUAACAUAUAGCUAGAUGGCAACCGAAGGCAUAUCCAUCCAUUUUCUGAGCCGCUUCUCCUCACUAGGGUCGCGGGCGUGCUGGAGGCUAUCCCAGCUAUCAUCGGGCAGGAGGCAGGGUACACCCUGAACUGGUUGCCAGCCAAUCGCAGGGCACAUACAAACAAACUACAAUUCGCACUCACAUUCACACCUACGGGCAAUUUAGAGUUUUUCAAUUAACCUACCAUGCAUGUUUUUGGGAUGUGGGAGGAAACCGGAGUGCCCGGAGAAAACCCACACAGGCACAGGGAGAACAUGCAAACUCCACACAGCCGGGGCCGGGGAUUGAACCCCGGACCUCAGAACUGUGAGGCUUACACUCUAACCAGUCGGCCACCGUCCGAAGGCAUAUCGAUAACGAUUUUACAAAUUGCCCUGUUGUCAGGUACUGUUUCUAAUGCGACUGGAUCAAAUGCUAACAUGCUAACAGUUGGUACUGUAUGUCAAUAUUCAUAAUAAGAGAGCAACCUGAGUAGACAAAGCACUAAGGUAGAUUGAUAAGGAUUUUGCAGUUUUAGCUGUAGUCAGGUUUUUUUUCAAAUGAGAAUUCCUAAAAUGCUAACAGUUGAAAAUGCUAAGACAUAGCAUGAUAACAACCCAAGAAAGCGCCAAGGCUAAUUGAUUAGGAUUUAACAUACACCCCUUAGUCGGGCAUUGUUUCAAAUGAGAAUUGAUCAAAUGCUAACAUGACGUAUGCUAACAUAUAUAGCAAGAAAGAUAUUGGGUAUCAGAAAUGCUAAAAUGCUAACAGUUGGUAUGCUAAUUUAUAGCAAGAUAGCAACCUGAGUGGAGAAAGGGCUAAAGCAGAUCGAUAAGGAUUUUGCAUCUUGACCUGUAGUCAGUUGGCUACUAAUUCAAAUGAGUAUUGAUAAAAUGUUAAGAUGCUAACAGUUUUUUUUUCUAAAGUGGGGCCCUGCUGUCCUGUAAGGGUGACUGGGCAUGUACAUUGUGCAGGACUGACCACCACCCAGCCGAGAACCUCCGCCGUGAAGGAGUUGAAGCUCCCUAUGCUCUGUCCCACCAUGAUCAGAGGGUGACAAUGGCUUAGUGUAGAAUAACCUGCAAUUAUUGUAACUUAAUUUAGCAUAAUGUAACAUUUCCCUGUAUCACAGUGUAACAUAUUGAAUCAUAACAGCUUUGCGUAAUGUUUUGUAUUUUAACUUAUUGAAAUAUAUUGUAAGGUAACAUAAUGUAUCGCAACUUAGCAUAGCGCAACAUACUGUAUUGUUACUUAUCGUAAUGUAUAGACGCCUAAUGUAUUUCAUCAAAACUUAGCAUAAUUCAUUGUACCUUAUCAUAAUGUAUCGUCAAGUUUUUAAUACAUAUUGAAAUGUAACAAUGUGUCGUAACUUAGUGUAGCAUGACAUAAUUUAUUGUUACUUAUCAUUGUUAUCAUGUAUAUUUUUGGUAUUGUAACUCAGUGUAGCAUAAUGUAUUGUAUUGUUACUUACCAUAAUGUAUAGACACGUAGUUUAUCAUACCUUAACUCAAUAUACCGUAUUGUACCAUAACAUAAUGUAAUGUAGGAUAACUAAGCGUAGCAUAACGUAUUGUACUGUAUGUUAGCCUAGUACAAUGUAUUGUAAAGUAUCAUAAUGUACUGUAGCGUACUGUAACCAAUAUUAUUAUGUACAGAUGUAUGCAUUGUAGAUGCAUGUAAUGUAUCUUAACUUUGUGUAGCGUAAUGUAUCGUGGCAUAACAUCGUGCAGUGUGGUAUCUUGUAAUAAGGUAUCAUAGCAUAGCAUAUUGUAAUAGCAUACUAUAAUUACAAGCGCAUUGUAUCUUAGCGUACUGUUUCCUAUUGUUGCGGAAUAUGUAAUUUAUUAAAAUGGAUCAAAGCAUAACGCAAUGUAUUGUAACUUAGCGUAAUGUAUUGUUACUUAUCAUAAUGUACAGUACACUGUAGUAGCGUGAGGUAUUGUAUCGAAUCUUAGUGCAGUUUAAUGUUUAAUUUUAUUGUAACUUAUUCCACUUCGAAGGUUGGAUAGUAGUUUAGUUUGUUGCCUUUGAAAGUUCUCUCUACAGAGAUGUGAGAAGUUGACCUUACUGCUGUAUGUUCACCCACUAAGUGCUCCUUUCCACGAGCCUGUCAGCCGUGUGGAAGCUGGACAAGAGCAACACUCUGCACUACUUCGUGCCAGAGCACUUUGUCCAUGACGUCCUGCUCAUGCUCAAGAACUAUGCUACCUUUAACUACUUCUGCUCCGGCAUGCCCGCAGCCUGACUCGGAGGUGGCCCGGGCCGGUCGAAACCUGGAGGUGUUUUUCCUGAGCAAACUGAGGGAGAUUUUCCCCGACAGGACCUUCCCGUCGGCCAGCUGCAACAGGAUGGAGCGAGCUCGCCUGCGGUGGCGCCUCGAGGAAGAAGUGGGAGGAGGGAGGAAGGAAUGUGUGCUCACUGACAGCAACUCCAAAUACUAUAAAGAUGUAUGACCAAUAAAAUUACAGUUUUUACAACUUUUAAUACUGAUUCUAUUCAUUCACUCACAUCAUAGCUUAGUCUAAGGUUUU
RNA transcript from Phyllopteryx taeniolatus (common seadragon), 3540 nucleotides. It is a transcript of the gene named PHD finger protein 21A-like, with no coding region annotated. The transcript is spliced from 5 exons. The record is from RefSeq and is a predicted model, not a curated record. NCBI's taxonomy places the organism in Eukaryota, Metazoa, Chordata, Actinopteri, Syngnathiformes, Syngnathidae.